ACCUUGCUGACGAGUGCCAAAUAGCACGAAACCUAAGUCAGAGGU
This 45-nucleotide non-coding RNA is filed under the name Schistosoma mattheei. Lineage: Eukaryota; Metazoa; Platyhelminthes; Trematoda; Strigeidida; Schistosomatidae. The record is from RNAcentral.